This is a long non-coding RNA of Cyphomyrmex costatus, 297 nucleotides long. RefSeq lists it as uncharacterized. The record is from RefSeq and is a predicted model, not a curated record. The transcript has 3 exons. NCBI's taxonomy places the organism in Eukaryota, Metazoa, Arthropoda, Insecta, Hymenoptera, Formicidae.
CUUGUACUUUAUAACGUAUCAUCCCUGAAACAGUUAGAGUCAUUUAUGAAGUACUGAAAGAUGAAUAUUUAAAGACUCCAGAUACCGAAGAAGAAUGGAAUCAUGUUGCUGACCAUUAUUUGCAACAAUGGAAUGUGCCUAACUGCAUUGGUGCAAUGGAUGGCAGACAUAUUGAAUUUAAAGUUCCUCUCAGUCAAGGAUCAUUGUACCAUAAUUAUAAAGCUGAUGCAGCUUUUCCGUUGCAGAAUCACAUAUUAAAACCUUAUCCAUCAAGCAACUUGCCUCAUGAUGAGCGAA